GCAUUCCUAUGGUUCAGUUUGUAGAACAUUGCGCUAAUAACGCAAUGGUUGUGGGUUCAAAUGCCAGGAGAAGCA
Molecule: non-coding RNA, 75 nt
Organism: Danionella cerebrum
Lineage: Eukaryota; Metazoa; Chordata; Actinopteri; Cypriniformes; Danionidae
Source: the annotation of a GenBank genome assembly